UUUCCACCAACUGCACUCGGAUUCCAGUCGCCACCGCCGCCUUCACCGCGCCGGCCACCUCCCUUCCCCCGCAAGCCCUCCGAUCUGCAUCGCCGCCUCUUUCUUUCUUCAAUCGGCGGCUCCACCCCCCACCGCUCUCUCCGCCGCUCCCGCAGCCUCUGCCGCUUCUCCCGCCCCAUUGUCGCCAGAGCCGNCUGCGCUCGGAUUCCAGUCGCCACCGCCGCCUUCACCGCGCCGGCCACCUCCCUUCCCCCGCAAGCCCUCCGAUCUGCAUCGCCGCCUCUUCUUCUUCAAUCGGCGGCUCACCCCCACCGCUCUCUCCGCCGCUCCCGCAGCCUCAGCUGCUUCUCCGCCCCAUUGCACCGGAGCCGGAGGCCGAGAUGGACUACAUCAAAAACGUGCCCAGGGGAAAAUUCGUCAACACCACGAGGGGCUCGACCUCGCUGGCACCAACCGCGAAUUGCCGAGCCCCUAGAUCCCCAAAGUCUUACUGCCUCUUUGUGAUUUUCGGCGACCACGACAGCCAUGUCCGCCGAUUUGCUAC
This 544-nucleotide long non-coding RNA is filed under the name Salvia miltiorrhiza (redroot sage). Its description in RNAcentral is "long non-coding RNA (SMIL_LNC004885)". Lineage: Eukaryota; Viridiplantae; Streptophyta; Magnoliopsida; Lamiales; Lamiaceae. The record is from RNAcentral.